RNAcentral lists this transfer RNA (76 nucleotides) under Ruminococcus sp. Its description in RNAcentral is "tRNA-Thr". It matches the Rfam family "tRNA". From Rfam's summary of the family: Transfer RNA (tRNA) molecules are approximately 80 nucleotides in length. The record is from RNAcentral. Lineage: Bacteria; Bacillati; Bacillota; Clostridia; Eubacteriales; Oscillospiraceae.
GCUAAUGUGGCUCAGCAGGUAGAGCAGCUCACUCGUAAUGAGCAGGUCGCCCGUUCGAAUCGGGUCAUUAGCUCCA